This 301-nucleotide ribosomal RNA is filed under the name uncultured bacterium. RNAcentral describes it as "partial 16S ribosomal RNA". It matches the Rfam family "Bacterial small subunit ribosomal RNA", at positions 509 to 809 of the family's 1533-position model. The record is from RNAcentral.
CAGUCGCCGCGGGAAUACGUAGGGCGCAAGCGUUAUCCGGAAUUAUUGGGCGUAAAGAGCUCGUAGGCGGUUUGUCGCGUCUGCCGUGAAAGUCCGGGGCUCAACCCCGGAUCUGCGGUGGGUACGGGCAGACUAGAGUGAUGUAGGGGAGACUGGAAUCCCUGGUGUAGCGGUGAAAUGCGCAGAUAUCAGGAGGAACACCGAUGGCGAAGGCAGGUCUCUGGGCAUUAACUGACGCUGAGGAGCGAAAGCAUGGGGAGCGAACAGGAUUAGAUACCCCGGUAGUCCCUGUCUCUUAUAA